GCUCAGUUGUUAGAGCUGCGAGCGCACAUGUGUAGGGGUUUGCUCCUCGACACAGCGGCCGCGGGUUCGGCUCCGGCCUGCGGCCCUUUGCUGCAUGUCGUUCCGUCCCUCACUCCCCUUUCAUGUCUUCGUCUGUCCUGUGGAGGUAGAGGCCUAAAAAUGCCCCAAAAAAUAAU
Sander lucioperca (pikeperch) is the source of this 176-nucleotide long non-coding RNA. RefSeq lists it as uncharacterized. The record is from RefSeq and is a predicted model, not a curated record. Lineage: Eukaryota; Metazoa; Chordata; Actinopteri; Perciformes; Percidae. The transcript is spliced from 3 exons.